Molecule: ribosomal RNA, 492 nt
Filed under: uncultured bacterium
Lineage: Bacteria
Description: partial 16S ribosomal RNA
Rfam family: Bacterial small subunit ribosomal RNA
Source: RNAcentral
AGUGAACGCUGGCGGUAGGCCUAACACAUGCAAGUCGAACGGCAGCACAGUAAGAGCUUGCUCUUACGGGUGGCGAGUGGCGGACGGGUGAGGAAUACAUCGGAAUCUACUUUUUCGUGGGGGAUAACGUAGGGAAACUUACGCUAAUACCGCAUACGACCUACGGGUGAAAGCAGGGGAUCUUCGGACCUUGCGCGAUUGAAUGAGCCGAUGUCGGAUUAGCUAGUUGGCGGGGUAAAGGCCCACCAAGGCGACGAUCCGUAGCUGGUCUGAGAGGCUGAUCACGCACACUGGAAAUGAGACACGGUCCAGACUCCUACGGGAGGAAGCAGUGGGGAAUAUUAGACAAGGGGCGAGAGCCUGAUCCAGCCAUACCGCGUGGGUGAAGAAGGCCUUCGGGUUGUAAAGCCCUUUUGUUGGGAAAGAAAAGCAGCAGGUUAAUACCCCGCUGUUCUGACGGUACCCAAAGAAUAAGCACCGGCUAACUUCGUG